Molecule: long non-coding RNA, 608 nt
Organism: Corythoichthys intestinalis (scribbled pipefish)
Lineage: Eukaryota; Metazoa; Chordata; Actinopteri; Syngnathiformes; Syngnathidae
Exons: 3
Source: RefSeq, a predicted model, not a curated record
CCGCUUUGAAAGCGGCCAAAAUAUCGUCUGCCUUUGUUCACUGCCGGUACAUUAAUGUCAAACACAUGCCUAGGAACCUUUUUCAAGCAUUAGUUUCAGUCGUGUCCGACCAGAGACAACACCGCUUCCUUUUCCGGACCGUGAUAUUCAAGAUGAAAGCCACGUCGAAGUCCUGCGCACCAACUUGACUAAUUCAUUCAAUUCAAGAAAUACAAAUGAAUGCAGCAGCUUUUUACGCAAAGCUAGCACACCGGGCCAAACCACCUCCUGUUGAGAGUGCUCUCAGUGAGAGUGAGGGCAGCGAUGAGGAGUACAAUCCUAAUAAAGCAAGUGAAGGUGAUGAAAGCAGCAGCAAUGACUCUACAGUGGACAUUAGCAGCAGUGAGGAAGAUGAUGAUGAUCCGCCUCAUCCACCUCCAACCACCAGUGCUGCACCUGCAAGACCUGCAAGAGCUACAUCAAGGGCAGAUCGAGCCUAAAGCAAUAUAUCCCAAAAAAAGCCAUACAAAUUGGGAUACAAGAUUUUUGUACUGUGCGACACAAGAGGUCUGGUGCACUCAUUUGACAUAUUCACAGGGAAAAUAGAUCCAGUACCAGGCCAACCAGAC